Molecule: long non-coding RNA, 1262 nt
Organism: Seriola aureovittata
Lineage: Eukaryota; Metazoa; Chordata; Actinopteri; Carangiformes; Carangidae
Exons: 3
Source: RefSeq, a predicted model, not a curated record
CUGGUGACCCUGCAAAUAGUCUGUCCUCUUUUCCUUUGUGGACAUCAAUCGAGCACCUUUGGAGAUCUUUGACCCUACUCUGUCUGUGACGUCCUGGGUGAAAGCUGGUCAUCGUUUGUCAACAUCAUGGGUGACGGGGAGGAAAGCCCAGGAGGAUCAACUCAAACCUCUGUGGUCAAUUCUUUAAGAUUUAUCUGGUGACACUGCAAAGAGUCUGUCCUCUUUUCCUUUGACAUCAAUGGACCACCUUUGGAGAUCUUUGACCCUACUCUGUCUGUGACGUCCUGGGUGAAAGGUGGUCAUCGUUUGUCAACAUCAUGGGUGACGGCGAGGAAAGCCCAGGAGGGUCAACCCAAACCUCUGUGGUCAAUUUUUUAAGGUAGUUAGUACAACAAAGCACUGGACAGCUUCCAAACGAUGAUGGCGCUUGAUGAAGAAGUCACAGGGUUAUCCAUCAUGACAGCAGUUCAACCUAAGGUGGGACAUGAAUGUCACUACAAAGCUUCACGGCUAUCCAUCCAAUAGCUAUUGAGAUACCUCACUCAAUAACAAAUAACUUGGCGAUCCACAUUAUAGUUGCGGAGAUAAUACAGUCCGGACCAGAGUAGUGGAGCGGUAUCCACAUUCGGCCUGGUGACAGAUAUCUAGCUGAAGUUUAAGUCUGUCACAUUCUCACCGUCUCACUCUCUCUUUCUCCUCUUCUUUGACUCUUUUAAACAAUAUUCCCCAAUCGUGAGGGACCGGCUGAUGCGAUGGGAAGGUGUGGGGACGUCAUUUGAUGCUGGCAGCGAGCCACAUCAUCAUCAACAACAACCACAACAACAACAACAUACGAGUCAUGUGAGCCGCGGUGCAGUUUCCCACUCGGCUUCCUGAAACCGGCGCAUGGAAGGAGAUGAGCGCACAAGAGCAAAAACAGAGAAGAGAGAGAGAGAGAUUUAACAGCUUGUGGAGGUGACCUGUGACAAAGUGCUGCGAACUUGUGAAUGCACUUCAUCAGGAAGUGGACAUCGAUUUGAACUGAAUUAUUAUACACAGUUUUUUUUUUUUUUUCAGUUUCCCCCGGUGUAAAACUGUUCUCAUUUUUCUAUGAGUUCUUUGAGUCAAUGUUCCACCACUCCACAACUAAUGGGCUUGUACUGCCAGCAGGCAGCUAGCACAGGCAGAUAGCUGAGGCUGAGGAUUUUUGUGACAUUCUGGCUGAUUGAUUUUUGAUCUCCAUGUUAUUUAAAGUUAAAUAAAUACUCCAUGUUAUUGCAAAA